This 253-nucleotide ribosomal RNA is filed under the name uncultured bacterium. RNAcentral's name for it is "partial 16S ribosomal RNA". It matches the Rfam family "Bacterial small subunit ribosomal RNA", at positions 524 to 776 of the family's 1533-position model. The record is from RNAcentral.
UACGAAGGGUGCAAGCGUUAAUCGGAAUUACUAGGCGUAAAGGGUGCGUAGGCGGUUCGUUAAGUCUGUCGUGAAAUCCCCGGGCUCAACCUGGGAAUGGCGAUGGAUACUGGCGAGCUAGAGUGUGUCAGAGGAUGGUGGAAUUCCCGGUGUAGCGGUGAAAUGCGUAGAGAUCGGGAGGAAUACCGAUGGCGAAGGCAGCCUUCUGGCAUAAUACUGACACUGAGGCUCGAAAGCGUGGGUAGCAAACAGG